This 742-nucleotide ribosomal RNA is filed under the name uncultured bacterium. RNAcentral describes it as "bacterial SSU rRNA". It matches the Rfam family "Bacterial small subunit ribosomal RNA", at positions 8 to 796 of the family's 1533-position model. The record is from RNAcentral.
AGAGUUUGAUCCUGGCUCAGAGCGAACGCUGGCGGCAGGCCUAAAACAUGCAAGUCGAACGAACCCUUCGGGGUUAGUGGCGGACGGGUGAGUAACACGUGGGAACGUGCCCUUUGGUUCGGAACAACUCAGGGAAACUUGAGCUAAUACCGGAUGUGCCCUUCGGGGGAAAGAUUUAUCGCCAUUGGAGCGGCCCGCGUCUGAUUAGCUAGUUGGUGAGGUAAAGGCUCACCAAGGCUACGAUCAGUAGCUGGUCUGAGAGGAUGAUCAGCCACACUGGGACUGAGACACGGCCCAGACUCCUACGGGAGGCAGCAGUUAGGAAUCUUGCGCAAUGGGCGAAAGCCUGACGCAGCCAUGCCGCGUGAAUGAUGAAGGUCUUAGGAUUGUAAAAUUCUUUCAGCGGGGACGAUAAUGACGGUACCCGCAGAAGAAGCUCCGGCUAACUUCGUGCCAGCAGCCGCGGUAAUACGAAGGGGGCUAGCGUUGCUCGGAAUUACUGGGCGUAAAGGGCGCGUAGGCGGACAGCUAAGUCAGAGGUGAAAGCCCAGGGCUCAACCUUGGAACUGCCUUUGAUACUGGCUGUCUUGAGUUCGGGAGAGGUGUGUGGAACUCCGAGUGUAGAGGUGAAAUUCGUAGAUAUUCGGAAGAACACCAGUGGCGAAGGCGACACACUGGCCCGAUACUGACGCUGAGGCGCGAAAGCGUGGGGAGCAAACAGGAUUAGAUACCCUAGUAGUCC